This is a long non-coding RNA of Drosophila ananassae, 1669 nucleotides long. RefSeq lists it as uncharacterized. NCBI's taxonomy places the organism in Eukaryota, Metazoa, Arthropoda, Insecta, Diptera, Drosophilidae. The record is from RefSeq and is a predicted model, not a curated record. The transcript has 2 exons.
UCACUCUGACAGUGUAAUGGUCACCUGUGCUGCCCAUUCGAGUUUAAAAAAAAUUAGAUUAGAAUAACGUCUAAUCUUAACGAAACUCUCCACUUUUAUCGAUAGGUGUUAGCAAUUUUUUUUUGUUUUAUUCAUUCCUAAUGUGCAUACUAGGCGUUAGUACUUACCUUGACAUUAGCCCUAGCAGCUUAUUAGGUGCCGUCAAAAGUCUUUUUCUUUUUUGAGCUGUCAAACUAAGCAGACGCACACCUUAGUACCAGCUACAACAUAUACAUAAAUCAAGUGGGUGAAACACGUGCAAAGUGAUCACAACAAAAUAAAACAAAUUAAAUCUGAAAAAUCCCCACACAUCAUUGGGCAAAGAAGUGAAGCAAAGACAUCAUUAAAGUCGCAAACAAACCUAGCCUGGGAUCAGGCGUCUUCUAUGGCCGAAAAUCCACAAGAGUCCCACCCGCACCACCUGGAUUCCCUACCUGGAUCAUUACAAAUAGUUUUUAUCAGGAUGAGUAACCCUAUCAAAAAUAAAAAAAACACCCACUUAGUCUAUCCCGUCUACAUUUAUUCGCAAAUCAAUACUGAUACACCGGAUAGGAGAAAUUUCGGAUAUCACCUAUAAAUAUAAAACGAUAUCAAAGUAUACAAUAGCGAACGAGAGUCGCCUUCCAAUCGUGUAUUACAUUUCUGUUGUUGUUCACAAACACAAAAAUUAAAUUACAUUAAAAUAUUACAAACUUAUAUUGAACUAGAAAUUUAGAAAAGAAAAAAAAUUAGAUGUAAAAGAAAUGAAUACGAAAGAAAUUAUAGAUAUAGAAAAAUAAUAGUAAUAAUUAUAUUCAAUUACAUUAAAAUAGUAUGAACUUAUAUUGAACUAGAAAUUUAAAGAAAAAAAAAAAAAUAUAUAUAUUGUGAAAAGAAAUUAUGAAUUCUAUUAAAGUACAUUAAAUUCUACGAACUCGAAUUGAACUAAAGAAAAACAAAAAUGUAAAUAAGGAAAGGCAUGCAAAAAGAGAAAUAAUGUAGUUGUAAGAUAUAUUUAAGAAAUUCAACCUCUCAACUAAUCAGCCCAACCUCUACGAGACUCCAACAUGAAGGCCUUCAUCGAGGAUCAUCACAUUGGGGUGAGUGAACAAAAAAAUAAAACCUAAAAGAUAACUAAAUGCCUAAAAGAGAAAAAUUUUAAAAGAUCAGAAUGUGUAGGAGGUUAAAAAUUCUAAGAACUGGUUUGUAAGAUUUAAAAGAAAAAAAAAACUGUAUAUGAAAAAAAAAAAAACAAAUUACCUAUCAAUCGGGCAAUUAUGCUAUUCUGCCAUGCUCAUAUCAAUAAUCUCUGCCAAGCCGAUAAGCUUGCAGACAGCAGGUGCUUGUUUGUUUUGCUUUCGUCAUUUGUUUUUUUUUUUUUUGCUAGCCUAAACCUUCAAGUGCAUUCGAACUCAAAUAGAGCAACUUAGCAUCUUAAAAUUUGUUGUCAAUUUUAAAUCUCAAAUAAUGAAUGAGGUCCACCUUAUUAUUAUUAUUAUUAUACUAUAUUAUUAAGCUAGGUUUUAGCCAAUAAUGUUAAUUAACCCAAAAUUCUAAGAUCAUACCUGAAUUGAACAUGAAAUUACUUCUCUUUUAUUAUUGUAAGAUCCUAAAGUUAAGCUGAAGUUUGUGAAAAUAUAUUACUUUAAAA